AGUUGAAUGAAGCACAGUUCUUAUUUCUUCCAGCUGUGAAUGUGGAUUCUUCCCACACAGAAUAUACAUUGUCCUCUUUGACUAGUGACACAUUGUACAUGGUACGAAUGGCAGCAUACACAGAUGAAGGUGGGAAGGAUGGUCCAGAAUUCACUUUUACUACCCCAAAGUUUGCUCAAGGAGAAAUUGAAGCCAUAGUCGUGCCUGUUUGCUUAGCAUUCCUAUUGACAACUCUUCUGGGAGUGCUGUUCUGCUUUAAUAAGCGAGACCUAAUUAAAAAACACAUCUGGCCUAAUGUUCCAGAUCCUUCAAAGAGUCAUAUUGCCCAGUGGUCACCUCACACUCCUCCAAGGCACAAUUUUAAUUCAAAAGAUCAAAUGUAUUCAGAUGGCAAUUUCACUGAUGUAAGUGUUGUGGAAAUAGAAGCAAAUGACAAAAAGCCUUUUCCAGAAGAUCUGAAAUCAUUGGACCUGUUCAAA
RNAcentral lists this non-coding RNA (479 nucleotides) under Pan troglodytes (chimpanzee). Lineage: Eukaryota; Metazoa; Chordata; Mammalia; Primates; Hominidae. RNAcentral also lists the same sequence under 1 other name. The record is from RNAcentral.